RNAcentral lists this transfer RNA (77 nucleotides) under Polaromonas sp. P2-4. RNAcentral describes it as "tRNA-Glu". It matches the Rfam family "tRNA". From Rfam's summary of the family: Transfer RNA (tRNA) molecules are approximately 80 nucleotides in length. Their secondary structure includes four short double-helical elements and three loops (D, anti-codon, and T loops). Further hydrogen bonds mediate the characteristic L-shaped molecular structure. tRNAs have two regions of fundamental functional importance: the anti-codon, which is responsible for specific mRNA codon recognition, and the 3' end, to which the tRNAs corresponding amino acid is attached (by aminoacyl-tRNA synthetases). tRNAs cope with the degeneracy of the genetic code in two manners: having more than one tRNA (with a specific anti-codon) for a particular amino acid; and 'wobble' base-pairing, i.e. permitting non-standard base-pairing at the 3rd anti-codon position. The record is from RNAcentral. Lineage: Bacteria; Pseudomonadati; Pseudomonadota; Betaproteobacteria; Burkholderiales; Comamonadaceae.
GACCCCAUCGUCUAGAGGCCUAGGACACUACCCUUUCACGGUAGGUACCGGGGUUCCGAAUCCCCGUGGGGUCGCCA